UACGAAGGGGGCUAGCGUUGCUCGGAAUUACUGGGCGUAAAGGGCGCGUAGGCGGUUUGCUAAGUUGAAUGUGAAAACUCUGGGCUUAACCCAGAGCCUGCAUUCAAUACUGGCAGGCUGGAGUUCUGGAGGGGAUAGCGGAAUUCCUGGUGUAGCGGUGAAAUGCGUAGAUAUCAGGAGGAACACCGGUGGCGAAGGCGGCUAUCUGGACAGAAACUGACGCUGAGGCGCGAAAGCUAGGGGAGCAAACAGG
Molecule: ribosomal RNA, 253 nt
Filed under: uncultured bacterium
Lineage: Bacteria
Description: partial 16S ribosomal RNA
Rfam family: Bacterial small subunit ribosomal RNA
Source: RNAcentral